UCACAAGAAACGUGGCACCAUCCGCCUGGGAAAACAGGGAAUUGUGCAAAAGACCCAGAAAAAACGAGAAGGAAAACGAGAUCUAAAAUAAGCCUAGAUUUCCAGGAUGGGUCGAUUGAGAGGAAGAAUAUUAUUGAGCGGGAAAACGAGAGGAUUGUAAGAAAGUCCUAUCUGGAGAACGCAGAGCAGAAGAGAGUGAAGAUUCAAAGCCGGGAAAGGGAUGGAUCCUUCUUUCUUGGCCCUUGAACCCAACACAAAAUUUCACUUUGGGGCGUGCUCAGGCAGAAAUGCCUCCAAACCCAUGAAACAACAUCAAAAUACCCCUAAACAAAGCCUUCCAACGCAUCCCAGACCUUGCAAUCUCCAAUUUCCCUGCAGAUUACCUUGCAAUCUCCAAUUUCCCUGCAGAUUACCUUGCAAUCUCCAAUUUCCCUGCAGAUUGCCUUGCAAUCUCUAUUUUCCUCUGCACUUUCCCAAAAUGGCACUGGUUGCCACUGGGCGAAAUGACUCUCGUCCAAUUUCAUUCCCACUUGCAAUGCACUUGGAUUUCCCAUGCAAGAGUAUACCUUCCAGGUUCUAGACUGACACUGACCCGGGUUCUAGCUUAACCUUCGAGAAUGGCUCUCAAUGUAAAGACACAACGGUGGAGGCAGCAAAGCAAGAAUCCAAUGGAGGCAAUUUGAUAGGAGCAGAUUAAAAAGUACAACGGAAAAAGCCAAUAUCUCCCACCCCAAAAAAAUAUGUAUGUGUGCAUGAACGUGGUUCAAAUUCAUUAUUAUGGCACACUACCGAUUUCUUUAAAAGAUCACUGGGUGGCAUUUUGAUCACGGCCACAAAUGGACGGAUCUGCAAGAGGCAGGCGUCAACAGGACGGGCUGCAUCUAAACCCAGGGCUGCAGAUAUUUAAGUGGCAUUCAUGAGGAUGGAGACUGCCAGGGCACAUGGAAAAGGAGAAGGAAAAUGCUAUGUUGCAUUGGCUUAGCAUCCCACAACCCCUUUGAGCAUCCAAAUGAGACCUGUUCAGGGCGGACAGGGGGGUGGAGAUAAACAAGAGAGGGGAU
Molecule: long non-coding RNA, 1061 nt
Filed under: Anolis carolinensis (green anole)
Lineage: Eukaryota; Metazoa; Chordata; Lepidosauria; Squamata; Anolidae
Description: lncRNA (ENSACAG00000044757.1)
Source: RNAcentral